UACACACCCUCACUACUCAUCCUCAUCCGGAGAACAUCUGGUUCCGUGCUACAACUUCCCAGCUAGAAGUCACUUGUUCACACGUUUCAGAUACGAAAUGUAAAAACCAAGACCCUUAUUAGGAUGCGCUACGGCACAGCGAUCGUGGCCCAUUGUGUCGGAGUCUCGAAAACGGCCACAGGGUAUGUCUGGGGAUACCCAGGAGCCCCCAUCCUGUGUGGGAGCGGCAUUCCCAAACUUUUGGGGAACGCGGCCUGACAAGGCUGGUAAAGCUGCAGACCGUGCAUGAAUGCGGGGAGAGUCAGAAUGCCUUCUCGGCCUUUCUGAUGGAGGCCGAGGGAGCCAGAAGGGAGCACAGAUUCAAGAUGCGGCUGCUACAACCCGGUGUUAGAAACACAUUUGCCCACAGUGUCAACCCCACACGUCAGCAGCACCGCUUUGUAGUGAGGUAUAUAUCGUCAUCUGUCGUCUUGGUCUUGGCCACAAUUCGCCUCCCUGUGGAAGUGAUGUGCUGUAAGAGAAUCCGAAAAACCAAAACGCGGAGCCCCACCAGACUCCAGGCAGUGGACCAGACCUGGACGACGAGUAGAAAUACUUUGUGAUGCCCCAGUGUGAAUAAUAGGACACGAAUCACAGAGGAUUGUGUCUUUCCACCUGUACGCAUCCGCUGCUUGCCUGAGGCAAUGGAGAUCAUGUGUUGCUUGUGACCACCCAGUGGUUCAGAUCCAGCCCCUAUGACCUCUUGGGGGGCUCUCCACGCUGGUGUGAGAAUGACAGCACCUGUAAGUAGGGUGUGAGCUGAUGGAAAGCAGUGUGCUGUGACCACAGCCCAGGACACACGUUACAGGUGACCAGAGGCAAUUGUUCGAAUUUCUCAGCAAGGCCCGUGGUGUAGCCAGCCGGUCCAGCUAACGUCACCCUCCUGAGACCCAGGUCUCUAGGGUUGUUCCCACCCCGUGCGUGCUCCCCAGUGGAGCCCGAAGGCCAGCCUGCGGCCAGCGCCCCUGACUCCUUGCAGUCAGGAACCUCCUUCUGAGCACCAGGGGAGCGUCGGCUCUUCUGGCUUUGACCUGUGAGGCUCUCCUACCACCAGGCGAUGCAGCCUCCUUGCGACAACAGAAUCACUGUGGAUGACGUCCACUCACCCACAGCUGAAACUCGUGCUACCAGGAACAGCCGCGGGGCUUGCUGGCUGGCCAGUAGACUGCAUAAAUACAAGACUCCACGUGGCUCGGCUUCACGCCAAAUGUCAGAAAGGGAAGGCCAGUGUGCCCCCCAACUCUUGGACUUGGGGAGUGUGCACGGAGUGAGACCAAGAGGGCAAUGAGUGAAGGCGGUGUGGAACAGGACGGUCUUUCCCUUCUGUGUGGCUCCUGCCAAGACCCACACGGUGGAUGGCGAGUCCCCGAGGGUGGAGCGCAUGGGAACCACCUCUCAGCCGGAUGCGGGGCUGAUGUCCCUUCCACCCUCCAAAGGAGAGCCAGAUGGCCACAUUCAUUCCUCUUGCUAUACUCUUGCUCAAGGUCAGCACGAGGGGCCGCGAAUGCCGCUCACUUGUGUGGGGAGGUGGGCGCCCUUGGCCACCGGGUGAGUGGAAACUGUCCUCGGAUCAGCUGUGGCCACGGCCACGCUAGGAUCCCACCCUCGCCCACACUUUUGACGGGGCGACUUUUGAUUGCUGCAUUAGGCAACGCUUUGUGGUAAACAUCAGGGUUGUCACUAGGAAGCGUGCCACGUUAUGCUUACGACUUUAAACAACCCAGUUUUCAAAUCUACUUUGGAAUCUGAGUGAACGUGAACUAGUCCACGUCUCCAAGGUGAGCCGGUGCCAAACACUUCUCUGGGUUGGAGACACUUCCCAAGCUUCCCUGUGGGCCUGUUCUUUGGACUCUUGUCAGCAGCUCCCCCAACUCUGCUAAUGAGGUUUCUGAUAUUGUUGGACUCUUCCAGAACAUUCCAUCUCAGAAACGCUGGCAAGCCUCCUGGCACCGAGAAAGAUGCUGCUUGUGAGUGACUGUCAGCCUCGGCUCUGCAUCUGGAGAACCUGGUUAUCUUGGGCUCUGUCCCCCUAAAAACCCUCCAGACUCUUUUCUGCAGCCACCUCGAAUCUCAUUCCACUCAGUGCUCACUGCACAGAAAUCAGACUCUGAACUUGCCAGGCUCCUGAGUCUGGGUGGAGUCUGGAGAUGGGUCGGGUCUGGGUUUCCCAUUCUGCAGAGCCCGCCGGACUAGCCUCGCCUCGCCCGGGCAGUGCUGCACCCCGAAGCCUCUUCCAGGCCUGGCGCCCUCCCCCAGCUCCCCCAUCCUACAGCAGGUGCUGCCCGGCAGAGUUGUGGCUGCCGGGGACCAAGCAGGGGGACACGAGCCGGCACCCAGGCGGCUGCUCCCGGAAGCUGGCAGAAGCAUGCUGCUGCCCAUGUAGACGCCUCCUGGCAUGGAAGGGCUGGGCCAGCGCCGGAGAUGGGAGUUCACGCCUCUGUGCGGGUGCUUAACCUUUCCUGCCUGUUGACUUAGGAGCAAAGCCAGUCAGGAAAUAGGCCCAAGAGCCAGAGGGCACCCAGCCCACGUCAACUCAGUACCGACCGAGCACCCAUUGUGCUCACCCCUGACAUCCUACACUGCGCAAACGUCCCCAGCAGCAGGGGAUUUGGGCCACAGAGUGAAAACCCGCAGCAGUGUGAAUCUGUGUUCUCCACAUCUCAUACCUGCCAAUACCUAUAUUUUCAGAAUAGAUUUUUGAAGAGCAAACAACCGUGUAUCACAGAGUAAGAUGUACACCCCAACCCAAGGAUCUUAAAGCAAACACGAGAAGCAGUUACCAGAUCACUCAGAAUUUGAUGUGGCUUGCAUUAUAUCCCUGCGGGACAGCAUGGGCCCAGAUCCUUCAGGCCAGGACUCCUAGGGACCUCUGGUUGACUUCUGCCUCCCUCCUGGCCCCACCCCUGCCUAGGCUCCUCCUGGUCCAGGAGCACUGGUGAGUGUCCUGCCCUGGCCUGCCCAGGCCCUGUCCACCUGCCCUCCUUGCACUGAUUGCACACAGUACUGUGGUGGUUUGGGUGCCAUCUGCCUGGUACCCACUGGCUCCUUGAAGGACGGACAGUAGCUGAUUCACAGGCCCAGCUCUGUGUUUGUGUCAAUCAACCAACCUUCACCACCGGGAGGAGGGAGGUAACAGGGACCUGACUGUGAAGACUGGGCACCUGAGUAACUUGCUUUUUCCGACAGUCCUCAUUUAUAUCAGUGCUCACAGUUGUGACAGCUGGGCAGUCAUUGGAUGUAAAUGGGCAGGUCCUCACUAGAUUCUUUCCAAGGGCUCCCCUCUGGGUACCAUGCCUGCAAGGUUGCAGGUGCCAGCACUCAGCCUGCGGCCCUAGUGCCUGGUGAGCGUCCGGGGCAGACACUUGGGCCUCGCUGGCUGUGGUGUGCUGGGAAGCUAAGUGUGCUUGCUGGGGACGGGGGGGGGGGGGGGGGGGGGGGGCCGGAUAUGGACGAGGUCCUAGUAGCUCUGCUAUGUGUCAGGGGCGGGGCUGUGGGGAUGGAGGGCCAUCUGCCAUCUUGUAACCCUGCGACCACCCCGCACACCUGACUGUGGGUCACUCAGACCCCUGUUCCUUCUCCCCCCUUGCCCACCUGGGACUGUCGAAGCACCUGUGCCCAUGUGCACCGUGCACAUGACAUUGGAGUUUGUUCUUGGUCUGUCUGUGCAUCUGUUCAUCUGAGGUUCUGACUCCGAGGCCAGGAGGCCAGGAGGCCAGGAGCUGGGGCUGGAACGAGACACCGCUCCCCACCCCUCCCCCUCGGCAGCUGCAGAGCCUUGGUGAAUUGUUUGCUUCACUGAACCUCAAUGUUCUCUUCGAGAAACUGGAGAUAAUGAAAGCACGUACUGAGGCAGGAAGAAAACUGUCUCCAAAGACAUCCAUGUCCUAGUCCUCAGAACCCGUGAGUGCUACCUUCUGUCAUGGAAAGGGAUGUGAUUAUGGGCAUGGAGCCUUGAGAUGGGGAGAGUGCUCUCGAUCAUCUGGUCCCCUUCUAAUUAUGCCCGUUCUUAAAAGUGGGGACUCUUUCCCCACUGUGUCACAGAGACAUGUGGCCACAGAGGGAGGGUCUGAGAAAUGACACGCCACUAUCUUAGAAGAUGGAGGAAGGGACGUGAGCCAAGGAAUGUGGAAGCUUCUAGAAGCUAGAGAAGUCAAGGAACAAAUCCCCCAAGUCAGCUUAUAAAUCCGGGGCAAUGUCCGUGCUUUGUAUUUCAGUAUACCUCACAGUAGCUAGAAUGGUGCUGGGGCCAUAAAAUAAUAAAAUUUAGAGAUUUAGAACUGGAAAGGAUCUCUCCAAUGAUUUUGUUCUACCACGAUAAGCAAUGUGUUGAUCACAGAUGGAUGGCUGGUGGAGAGAUAGAUGGGUAAGUAGAUGAGUGCUUGCGUAGAUAGAUGGAUGGGUGUGUGGGUGGAUGAGUGGAUGGACGAAAUAGCUAGCAGCCUAAAAUGAGGUUUUGAGAUAUUUGUGGGAUUUCUAAAUAAUUUCAAUCCUUUCAUCAGAGUUCAACCUGUCUCUUUUCCUCUCUUUGUAAGCCAUACAUAAUAGAAAAGUUGACUGAGUUAACUCUAACCUGAGUUAAAUAUUGAUCCUUGAGAACUCCGUGUUGAAUAAGACCAAAACAUCUAUGGUCAUUUACAUGUAACACUCAGAUAUCAUGUAUCCUUUAGGUUCAUUAAAUGCAUCAGAAUGCACUAGAUCCCAAAAGGGGAGGUAAAGAGUGAGGAGGUUUCCAGGUUUCUGGAGACGCACAGAUUCACCUAUAAUUCAUCUGUCACGUGGAACAUUGGCGACAGAAGGGAGAGGUUGAGAAACUUUGGGUGGUUCAGGAUUUAUUCAUAGGUUUGGCACACUAGAAGACAUGAUGAUCAAAAAUAUGGCCCUUAAAAUACAAAUGCCAUGGGUUCUCAAAAUAGUGGAAAUGGAAUCAUUAAUAUUGAAGCACAAGAGAACCAAACAAACCGAUUCUCCUAAUUUCCGUUACUUCUGUGAGUUGUUACUACUCCUCUGGCCUUGCCCCCAUUCCUAAAUUGGAUCUUUCAUGACCUCAGAUCAAGUCUGUCACUGUGAACACUACUAUCUUCAGAAAGCAGUCCAGGCUGCGGACCUCCCACAAGGCAGUCACCGAGGACAGGGGCCUCCUUGUAGCCCUGCUACAGACUUGUCGCUGGCACAGCCCCCUCCCAACAGAUGUUGGUCGAGUUCAUGAACUAAUCAGUUACAUAUUGUUAUUUAGCCAGUUUCCAUCUUCGCAUUGGGACAGACCUCAAGCCCAGAGAUGGUGUGAGACUUGACACAGCUAGUUAAUGGCAAACCACAGCUGGAAUCCAUGUCUGUUCAUAACUAUGCCAACACUUUUCCACCUUAAGAUACUCCAGAGAGGGGGCUCGUCCUCUCCUGUGGAAUGAGGCCAGGGCCCCGUGGGGUCUCAUUGGACCAUAAGGCUUCCUGUUCCCAAGUAUUGGAGGAGUCUCUGGUUUAUUAAAAUCAUCGGAGUCAUUCAAGUUCCUGUUCCAUUUAUAGCCCAGCCAUCAGAUGAGCUGUGGUGGCCCUAUUUCUGUCCCAGGCUCUUGGUGUCAGGGCUGGCUCCUUUGGGGUCAUGGAACAGGAUUUCCAUUCCAGACUUGCACCACAUUGCCCCAAGGAUGGAUGGCAGGUGGCUCAGAGCUAAAGUUUCCAACUGAGACGCAUCCAUUCAACACGUGUUUAUUUCAUACUAACAUGCUGGGCACUGCUGUAGGCUCUGGGGCACAGAAGUGAGCAAAUCAGAAGCCCACACAAUGGAAUACUACACAGCCAUGAAAAAGAAUAAAAUCUUGCCAUUAGAAAGAACAUGGAUAGAGCUAGAGGGUGUUAGGCUAAGUGAAGUAAGUCAGACAGAGAAGGAAAAAUACCCCAUGAUUCCACUUAUAUCUGGAAUCUAACAAACAAAGCAAGACAAAAUGAAAAACAGAAAGAAGCUCAUAAAUACAGAGAACAAAUAGGGGUCUGCCAGAGAAGAGAGGGUUAGGAAAUAGACGAACUAGGUGAAGGAGAUUAAGAGGUGCGAACGUCCACUUAUAAAAUAAGUCAGGGGAUGAAAAGUACAUAGCAUAGGGAAUAUCGUAGGGAAAAAAAAUCCUGCAACUUUAAUGAAUUCAUUUAUCAGUGCUAAUAGUUUUUUGGUGGAAUCUUUAGGGUUUUCAAUAUGGAGUAUCGUGUCACCUGCAAAGAGUGAAAGUUUUGCUCCUUCCUUGCUGAUGUGAAUGCCUUAAUUUCUCCAUCUUGUCUGACUGCCGUGGCUGGGAUUUCCACUACCACAUUGAAUAAAAGUGGUGAAAGUGGACAUCCCUGUCUCAUUCCUGAUCUCAGCGGAGAAGCUCUCAGCUUUUCACCACUGAGGAUGAUGUUAGCUGUGGGGUUGUCAUACAUGGCCUUUAUUAUAUUCCGUCUAUACUUUGUUGAGAGUAUUUAUCAUGAAUGGAUGUUGACUUUAAAGUUUUCGCUCUGUAACCAUGGAGUACGAUUUUAGUUGCAGAUUGUUCACAUAUGGGUCACGUUAAGAAAGUUUCCUUCUAUUCCCAGUUUAUUGAGUGUUUCCAUCAUGAAAGGGCAUUGAAUUUUCUUAAAUUCUUUUUCUGCAUCCAUUAAGAUGAUUAUAUGUUUUUUUCACCUCCAUUCUAUUAAUGUAUCAUAUUCCACUGAUUAAUCUUCAUAUGUUGAACCAUUCUUGCAAUCCAGGAAUAAAUGCUUCUUGGUAA
This is a long non-coding RNA of Neofelis nebulosa (Clouded leopard), 6776 nucleotides long. RefSeq lists it as uncharacterized. The record is from RefSeq and is a predicted model, not a curated record. The transcript is spliced from 2 exons. NCBI's taxonomy places the organism in Eukaryota, Metazoa, Chordata, Mammalia, Carnivora, Felidae.